This 500-nucleotide ribosomal RNA is filed under the name uncultured bacterium. RNAcentral describes it as "partial 16S ribosomal RNA". It matches the Rfam family "Bacterial small subunit ribosomal RNA", at positions 29 to 523 of the family's 1533-position model. The record is from RNAcentral.
AUUGAACGCUGGCGGCAUGCCUUACACAUGCAAGUCAAACGGCAGCACGGGAGCAAUCCUGGUGGCGAGUGGCGAACGGGUGGGUAAUAUAUCGGAACGUGCCCAGUCGUGGGGGAUAACGUAGCGAAAGCUACGCUAAUACCGCAUACGAUCUAUGGAUGAAAGCGGGGGAUCGCAAGACCUCGCGCGAUUGGAGCGGCCGAUAGCAGAUUAGGGAGGUGGUGAGGUAAAGGCUCACCAAGCCGACGAUCUGGAGCUGGUCAGAGAGGACGACCAGCAACACGGGGACUGAGACACGGCCCAGACUCCUACGGGAGGAAGCAGUGGGGAAUGUUGGACAAUGGGCGCAAGCCUGAUCCAGCAAUGCCGCGUGCAGGAUGAAGGCCUUCGGGUUGUAAACUGCUUUUGUACGGAACGAAACGGCGAGCUCUAAUACAGUUUGCUAAUGACGGUACCGUAAGAAUAAGCACCGGCUAACUACGUGCCAGCCGCCGCGGUAA